AUUGAACGCUGGCGGCAGGCCUAACACAUGCAAGUCGAGCGGGGUUUUCGGACCUAGCGGCGGACGGGUGAGGUAAUGCGUAGGAAGCUGCCCGAUAGAGGGGGAUACCAGUUGGAAACGACUGUUAAUACCGCAUAAUGUCUACGGACCAAAGUGUGGGACCUUCGGGCCACAUGCUAACGGAUGCGCCUACGUGGGAU
Molecule: ribosomal RNA, 200 nt
Filed under: uncultured bacterium
Lineage: Bacteria
Description: partial 16S ribosomal RNA
Rfam family: Bacterial small subunit ribosomal RNA
Source: RNAcentral